GUGCUUACUUCAGCAGCACACAUACUAAAAUUGGAAUGAUAUGGAGAAGAUUAGCAUGGCCCCUGCAUAAGGAUGACAUGCAAAUUUGUGAAGCAUUCCAUAUUUUU
Trichosurus vulpecula (common brushtail) is the source of this 107-nucleotide small nuclear RNA. Lineage: Eukaryota; Metazoa; Chordata; Mammalia; Diprotodontia; Phalangeridae. The record is from RefSeq and is a predicted model, not a curated record.